GUGCUCACUUCGGCAACACAUACACUAAAACUGAAAGAUACAGAGAACAUUAACACAGCCCCUGCGCAAGAAUGAUAUGCAAAUUCUUGAAGCGUUCCAUAUUUUC
Small nuclear RNA from Psammomys obesus (fat sand rat), 106 nucleotides. The record is from RefSeq and is a predicted model, not a curated record. Lineage: Eukaryota; Metazoa; Chordata; Mammalia; Rodentia; Muridae.